UGAGAAGUGGCGCGGAGGUGAGCCCAGAGCUGUCCCUGAGGUGAGGCUGAGAAUAAGUGCAAGGCAGAGGUGCUGCUGAGGAAGGAGAGCCCCGUGGUGGGGAAGACACAAAGCUGUGAGUGCCCAUCCCCGAGAAGGUGCUGUGUCCAUCCCCUGUGUGCCAGGAUUUGUCCUUCUCAAAGCUUGGGCGGAUGGAGGAGGAGGCUGCGAGGAAGAGGAAGAUGCCUUGGGCCCCCCAGGCAGGCCCCAAGCUGAGGACGGAGAGCCUGGAGGACAAAUCCCCCCGUGAGACCCUGGUGGGAGAGGCCAUUUUGAAGGGCUCCACAGCGCAGGAAGGCAGCGGGGAGGAAAAGGGCCGGAGAUCCCCCCGCAGGAGGGGCUCCAAAGCCAUCCCAGGGUGCUCUGAGGAGGAAAGAGCCAGCCUGUGCU
Molecule: long non-coding RNA, 429 nt
Organism: Chiroxiphia lanceolata (lance-tailed manakin)
Lineage: Eukaryota; Metazoa; Chordata; Aves; Passeriformes; Pipridae
Exons: 3
Source: RefSeq, a predicted model, not a curated record